RNAcentral lists this long non-coding RNA (1196 nucleotides) under Sinocyclocheilus grahami. RNAcentral's name for it is "lncRNA (ENSSGRG00000026473.1)". The record is from RNAcentral. Lineage: Eukaryota; Metazoa; Chordata; Actinopteri; Cypriniformes; Cyprinidae.
CUUAUUUUCAUGUCUCCAUCCUUCCCAGUCACAGGAAGUUCCUGAGGUUUGCUUUCAGGGGCAAAGCUUACCAAUAUCGGGUCCUUCCCUUCGACCUAGCACUCUCACCCCGUACUUUCACAAAGUGUGUAGAUGCUGCUCUGGCUCCCCUGCGACUCCAGGGCAUCCGCAUACUCAAUUACAUCGACGAUUAGUUGAUUUUAGCUCAAUCAGAGCAGAUGGCGGUUCGGCAUUGAGAUGUUGUUCUCGCUCAUAUGAAAGAGUUGGGGUUAAGACUAAACGCCAAGAAAAGUGUGCUUGCUCCAUUACAGAGGACCACUUAUCUGGGCGUGGUAUGGGAUUCGACCAUGAUGCAGGCACAUUUGUCGCCUGCUCGGAUCGAGUCGAUCCUCACUGCAGUCGCGAGAGUCAGAGAAGGCCGGUCACUCACUGUCAAGCAGUUUCAAAAGCUGCUGGGUCUGAUGGCAGCUGCGUCCAACGUGAUAGCUCUUGGCCUGCUGUACAUGAGACUCCUAUAGUGGUGGCUCAAGACCAAGGGGCUCUCCCCGAGGGGAAACACACUUCGCAUGAUCAAGGUCACGCGGCAAUGCCUACGUGCCUUAGACAUGUGGAGGAAACAUUGGUUCUUGUCUCAGGGCCCGGUGCUGGGAGCUCCUUGUUGCCGCGUAACGCUAGCGACGGAUGCAUCCCUCACCGGUUGGGGAGCGGUCAUGAAUGGCCACCCUGCCCGCAGUCUGUGGAGUGGUCGCCAUCUCACGUGGCACAUCAACUGCCUGGAGAUGCUGGGCGUGUUUCGAGCCCUCAAACACUUUCUUCCAGACCUAAGAGAUCGCCAUGUGUUGGUGCGCACCGACAACACAGCGGUGAUCUUUUAUAUCAACCACCCCGAGGUGGUGAAGCAGAUAUGGAGAGUUUUUGGCCAGGCUCAGGUGGACUUGUUUGCGACCUGUCAGACAUCGCAAUGUCCCCUCUGGUUCUCUCUGACUCAUCCAGCUCCACUGGGGCUGGAUGCUAUGGUACAGACUUGGCCGAGGCUUCGUCUGUACGCCUUUCCCCCGAUCGCUCUGCUCCCGGGAGUUCUAGAGAGAGUGCGUCGGGACGGGGUCCAUCUAUUCUUUCCUCAACGGCACUCCAUGGGAGAUUCCCAUCAGGAGAGAUCUCCUCUCACAGGCGGGUCAUGGUGCGGAGACCGCCUG